This 77-nucleotide transfer RNA is filed under the name Pseudomonadota bacterium. RNAcentral's name for it is "tRNA-Arg". It matches the Rfam family "tRNA". From Rfam's summary of the family: Transfer RNA (tRNA) molecules are approximately 80 nucleotides in length. Their secondary structure includes four short double-helical elements and three loops (D, anti-codon, and T loops). RNAcentral also lists the same sequence under 5 other names. Lineage: Bacteria; Pseudomonadati; Pseudomonadota. The record is from RNAcentral.
GCGUCCGUAGCUCAGCUGGAUAGAGCACCGGGCUUCGAACCCGGUGGUCGGGGGUUCGAGUCCCUCCGGGCGCGCCA